RNAcentral lists this ribosomal RNA (254 nucleotides) under uncultured bacterium. Its description in RNAcentral is "partial small subunit ribosomal RNA". It matches the Rfam family "Bacterial small subunit ribosomal RNA", at positions 26 to 286 of the family's 1533-position model. The record is from RNAcentral.
AGGACGAACGCUGGCGGCGUGCUUAACACAUGCAAGUCGAGCGGAAAGGCCCUUCGGGGUACUCGAGCGGCGAACGGGUGAGUAACACGUGAGCAACCUGCCCCUGGCUCUGGGAUAGCCUCCGGAAACGGGGAUUAAUACCGGACAUGACCUGCUGCCGCAUGGUGGCGGGUGGAAAGUUUUUCGGCCAGGGAGGGGCUCGCGGCCUAUCAGCUUGUUGGGGGGGUAACGCCCACCAAGGCGACGACGGGUAG